CCCUUAGAUGUCCUGGGCCGCACGCGUGCUACACUGACGCCUACAGCGAGCACUUUCCAGCCCCGAGAGGCGGCUGGUAAUCAGCAAUAGGCGUCGUGAUGGGGAUAGAUCUUUGGAAUUAUGGAUCUUGAACGAGGAAUGCCUAGUAAGCGCAGGUCAUUAGCCUGCGCUGAUUAAGUCCCUGCCCUUUGUACACACCGCCCGUCGCUCCUACCGAUUUCGAGUGGUCCGGCGAAUCUUUCGGACUGCGCGCGGCCUUGAGUCGUGUCGCGGAAAGUCAGGUAAACCUUAUCACUUAGAGGAAGUAAAAGUCGUAACA
RNAcentral lists this ribosomal RNA (319 nucleotides) under uncultured eukaryote. Its description in RNAcentral is "partial 18S ribosomal RNA". It matches the Rfam family "Eukaryotic small subunit ribosomal RNA", at positions 1470 to 1796 of the family's 1831-position model. The record is from RNAcentral.